Unclassified non-coding RNA from Megachile rotundata (alfalfa leafcutting bee), 3403 nucleotides. The record is from RefSeq and is a predicted model, not a curated record. Lineage: Eukaryota; Metazoa; Arthropoda; Insecta; Hymenoptera; Megachilidae.
UACUAUUUUCAUACCAGAUCAAUUAAAAUCCCUUUUUUUGACUCAAAUAAGCAAUAAUAUGCCUCAAAUUGCAGUUUAAAAUAAUCUUUAAACAUUUUUCUACCCCUAACAAUACAGUAAUACCAAUAAAUACAAAAAUUGUUUCCGUUUUUUAGUUUUAUAAGUUGCCGCUCCCUACUGUAAGAUGGCAGACGGUUUUGCGGACCAUGGUAAUUAGCGUUUUUAUUUUUUACUUUCUACUUUUUGAAUUAGGUACUUUCUUACCAUAUAUGUUCUUUUAUUUCGAAUUCAGGGAGACUGCAUUCUUUGAACUGGUUUUUUAUCUACACUUGUUAAUGGAUUAUUAAGUUUUCUACUUUAUCUUCCUAAAACUGUACAGCAUUGUUGGUAAUGCAAAAUAAUGAAGAGACUAUUUUUGGAGGGAAAGAUUUAUUAUCGAAAUACAUAGUAUUUAUAAUGUUGCAUGUGCUACAUUAUUUACAGGUAAAUGUUUGUUUACAGGAAAUGAAUUGAAGGAAUAUUUAUUAGAAGACUUUUCCACAAUAAUAAGAGAAUUAUUUUUUGUGCGAUUUGGUCGGUCAGUAGCCUGCGAGAUAUAACACUCCUCACCAUUUUGGUAUUUUGUUGAUGGGAAGUGCCAACAGAUUGUGCAAUCUUACAAUUAGUGGAACGCGGUGCAUUCGUUGCGACGGAAUAAUCGCGAAGAUACGUCGCAAAGAAUCGCACGUAGCCGCGAUGCGAAAUGCAUUCGAAUGUCAACAGAGAACGCCUUGAGAGUGUCAUCAAUGCAAAUCGACGAUGACGGCUACGGAAAUAAAUCCGCAACAACGAUGUACAUGAUCGCAGCGUAUAAAUACUUGACACUAGCAUGCAAUUUAGUAAGUCAUUCUUUCUAGGGUCCUGUAUAAAAAAGGGUAUCCCGCUAGACAUACAUGUUUUUCCACUUUUGUUAGAAUGAACGGAAUUUCAAGGGUUUGCACACCGUUUAUUUGGCAACGCUGCACGCUGCAUAUUUCACUGUCAGCCUGUUUACAAUAAAAUUAACUCUCGCUCGUAAGGAAUAAACAGAAUGAACCAGAGGAAGGGUUCACCGGACGUAUCUUUAUGAGAAUACAAUUUUUCACAAUGCCAGAGGUAUUUGUUAAUUUUUCAAAUUGAGUGCAAAGUUCUGAAUGAUUUGCAGGUAUCUCCCUAGAGGAUUUCUAAGUAUAACCUUCCACCAUUUGUUUCUUAGCUCAACUUAGAACCCCCUUCAAAGAACAUGAAUCAAGAGAAUUACCGACAUCCAUUCCAGGCUAGAUCAUAGCGAGUAUAUUUUCUAGGUUAUGUAAUGAAUUUUAACCGACUUCUUCAUUACUCAGAAAUUGAAAGAACACGUUUAUACUUGCAGAGUAGAGUGCGGCCAUACAUCACGGACGUAUUUAUACACGCGGAAACCCGUGCGAAACUCUGUUCUUCAACAACGACGCGGCGUCGCGCGUGCGGCACUAAUUAAUGAUUUAAGCAACACUAAGCGGCCGAGUUUCGUAGCGUACGACUCUCACGCGUCUGCGUUUACGCUUCUCGAAGCCAGCGGCGAAGGUACGCGCCACGUAUAAUUACAAUCAUCUCGUGAGAAUCAUUUAUGCAAUUAGCGGUCUCGCCUUUCAGGAAGCGUUCGAAGAAAACAUGCCCGCGGUAUACCGAUCCUCUCGUUUUCUGCAAACCAUCGGUAAGCGAGACUCUUUGGGAACCUUGGCUCUCUUCCCAAACUUCGUCAGGUUCACGAGUACCUCCGAGAACAAUGUUGUUUCUGUCCCACGCCAAUGUAACAGAAUACGGAGUGCAUCAUCAUAUGGCUUUUGGAAAUUCUAGCAUGUGGACUUUUGAAGACUUAUAUUUACAUUUACAUUAAUAUUUUACAUCAUACGUUUGUCAUAUCCGACUUCACUUUAAAGGGUUCAGACCCUGCUAAGGUAACUUUGCUGCUAUACUAUUGUAUCCUAGUUAUUAUUAUAAUAGUGUCUUGAACGUAGGGGAAGUCGUCACGACAGCGACGAAGAAAGCCUUGAAGCGAUAAGGGUUGGCGACUCGGUGACGACAAGAAGAAAAAUUCGUGAGGGUGGCCCUCGAGGGGAUGUCCGCAGGAUUUCGCCCAGCUGGCAAAGCGAGGCCAAGCCGACACUGGUAUUGAUUACGAAGGAAGACCGCACCCUCUGCCACCCUUUUGCUCGGGCCUCGACGUAACGGGGUUGGCCAACGGCAAACGCUGCGAUACACUGCAUCGAGAGAGAAAUCCUGCGCAGUCGUCGCUGAAUCUCUGCGACUGCCCCUCUAUUCAGACUCCAGACGAUCAAUUCUCGCACCCUCAUGCCAAGGAAAUUCACUUCUUUUGUCUGCAUUUUAAGAUACCUUUCUUUUCAUACUUUGCUGAAGACAUUCUAUGCCCAUAAAUUAACGUUGCAGUAAAAAAUACUUCGUCUUAAAGAAAGCUAUUGUAGAAGAAAUAUGAGUACAAAAUGUUAGCAACAAUUCUUGAAGGUUGAAGCGGUACGAAGUAUAUGCAAAUAUGAUUUGUGUAGCAGCAUAAAUAUGAGAAGAGAUGAUGUUUCAUUGCAGCUUUCAAAAUGGAGUAAAAGCCAUUCCGCAUUGCCAAAUUUAGGGAUGAACCAACCCCUCGGAGGGAUGCUGCUCCAAUCAGAGCCACGUUCCCCUAUGGGGCAUCUCGCGAAUCAGAUCUGCGCAGCAUCCCUUCGGACCAACCCCUGCAAGAAAAAUGGCGGACACCUAUGCCUUCGAAUUAAUUCGUACAUCGAUGCACAUCGACAGGAACUAAUUUGUCGGAAAGGGGAAAGGCCAAUUACUGGAAUAUCGAGACCUUCGAGACACGGUGGUUGGCGAUAUUCGUGGUUGAUGAUCUCGAAUAUAUUAUCGAGGAUGAAGAGAGAGUCCCUCUCUGUUUAUAAGCAUCGUUGAUUUCAGAUACGAGGCUGCAGCGUUCCAGAAGCCUCGAGCCUCUUUCGCGGUGGCUGGUUUGGACUCGCCCAACCGGUAGUGUGGUCGAGGAACCAGUGAACGUCCUCCUUUUUGCCCCUUUUUUCGACCCGUUUUCAUUGACAUGAGAUAUGAACGGUUCUAAGAAAUUAAUAUCGCCGAUACGCGAUGCACGAUCGCUUUAGCCAUCGAGAGCAACUGGAAUUCGCCGAUUAAUUUCGACGAUUGUAGCUGAUUGCUAUUAAGUGAAUUUGGUGGAUGCACUUUUGUAUUACUGCAGUAGACACUUUGCAAAAUUUAGAGAAGCUUAGACUUGUGGAUAUCUCAAGAAUACACCUUAACUGGAACUUAACCUAACCUGACUUUGAGGAACUUAAUGCAGUACCUUAGAACUGGAACUUAACCUAACAUAACUUUGGAGAACUUAAUG